UACGUAGGGGGCAAGCGUUGUCCGGAAUUACUGGGCGUAAAGGGUGCGUAGGCGGUUUGUUAAGUCCUGUGAAAGGUCCGGCUUAACCGGGGAAGGCCAUGGGAAACUGGCAGACUUGAGUGCCGGAGAGGAUUGCGGAAUGCUCGGUGUAGCGGUGAAAUGCGUAGAUAUCGAGCAGAACACCAGUGGCGAAGGCGGCAAUCUGGACGGCAACUGACGCUGAGGCACGAAAGCUGGGGGAGCGAACAGG
This 250-nucleotide unclassified non-coding RNA is filed under the name uncultured Bacillota bacterium. RNAcentral describes it as "uncultured Firmicutes bacterium contains 16S-23S intergenic spacer region". It matches the Rfam family "Bacterial small subunit ribosomal RNA", at positions 524 to 776 of the family's 1533-position model. The record is from RNAcentral. Lineage: Bacteria; Bacillati; Bacillota.